This 720-nucleotide small RNA is filed under the name Pongo abelii (Sumatran orangutan). RNAcentral's name for it is "processed transcript". The record is from RNAcentral. Lineage: Eukaryota; Metazoa; Chordata; Mammalia; Primates; Hominidae.
AGAGCUGGGUCAGAGCUCGAGCCAGCGGCGCCCGGAGAGACUCGGAGAUGCAGGCGGCUCGGAUGGCCCCGAGCUUGGGGCGGCAGCUGCUGAGGCUCGGGGUCGGAAGGUCUGUGUGUGACAAGUGGGACGGUGGGCAGCGGCCCUGGGCACCGGGCCAGGACUGAACUCCCACUCCCCACAGCUCGCGGCUCACGGCGCUCCUGGGGCAGCCCCGGCCCGGCCCUGCCCGGCGGCCCUAUGCCGGAGGUGCCGCUCAGCUGGCUCUGGACAAGUCAGAUUCCCACCCCUCUGACGCUCUGACCAGGAAAAAACCGGCCAAGGCGGUAGGUAGCCCCGAGGCCAGGUGGACCUUAGCCAGACCCAACCAGAGCCCUGAAAUUCGCCUCUCUCUGCCCAGGAAUCUAAGUCCUUUGCUGUGGGAAUGUUCAAAGGCCAGCUCACCACAGAUCAGGUGUUCCCAUACCCGUCCGUGCUCAACGAAGAGCAGACACAGUUUCUUAAAGAGCUGGUGGAGCCUGUGUCCCGUUUCUUCGAGGAAGUGAACGAUCCUGCCAAGAAUGACGCUCUGGAGAUGGUGGAGGAGACCACUUGGCAGGGCCUCAAGGAGCUGGGGGCCUUUGGUCUGCAAGUGCCCAGUGAGCUGGGUGGUGUGGGCCUUUGCAACACCCAGGGGAGACUGUGGCCGCUUUCUGUCUAACUGAGCCCUCAAGCGGGUCA